This 249-nucleotide long non-coding RNA is filed under the name Setaria viridis. RNAcentral describes it as "long non-coding RNA (SVIR_LNC000585)". Lineage: Eukaryota; Viridiplantae; Streptophyta; Magnoliopsida; Poales; Poaceae. The record is from RNAcentral.
GUAUCUUCAUGAAAUUUGGAGAUGCCUCGGCGGAGGAAUAUUGGAGGAUGACAUGGUCGAAUUUGGGAUUUAUUGGAGGAAGUUUGGCGCAUGAAAUGAUGAGAUAACUGUGUGUCUAGGGGUUAAAACAAAGCUUUGGACUAAACUGCGAGAAACCAGGGACUUGUUUGUGAAUAUUUCUAGGAGGUGGAAGGGCAUAUCCGCGAGGAAUCCUUGAGAGUGGUGGAAGGGCCGGUUUGUGAAUAUGGG